GAUGAACGCUGGCGGCGUGCUUAACACAUGCAAGUCGAACGAUGAAGCCCAGCUUGCUGGGUGGAUUAGUGGCGAACGGGUGAGUAACACGUGAGUAACCUGCCCUUGACUCUAGGAUAAGCCCGGGAAACUGGGUCUAAUACUGGAUAGGAACGUCUACCGCAUGGUGGGUGUUGGAAAGAAUUUCGGUCAUGGAUGGACUCGCGGCCUAUCAGCUUGUUGGUGAGGUAAUGGCUCACCAAGGCGACGACGGGUAGCCGGCCUGAGAGGGUGACCGGCCACACUGGGACUGAGACACGGCCCAGACUCCUACGGGAGGCAGAAGUGGGGAAUAUUGCACAAUGGGCGAAAGCCUGAUGCAGCGACGCCGCGUGAGGGAUGACGGCCUUCGGGUUGUAAACAUCUUUCAGUGGGGAAGAAGCGAAAGUGACGGUACCUGCAGAAGAAGCACCGGCUAACUACGUG
This 465-nucleotide ribosomal RNA is filed under the name uncultured bacterium. Its description in RNAcentral is "partial 16S ribosomal RNA". It matches the Rfam family "Bacterial small subunit ribosomal RNA", at positions 28 to 507 of the family's 1533-position model. The record is from RNAcentral.